RNAcentral lists this ribosomal RNA (491 nucleotides) under uncultured bacterium. Its description in RNAcentral is "partial 16S ribosomal RNA". It matches the Rfam family "Bacterial small subunit ribosomal RNA", at positions 29 to 506 of the family's 1533-position model. The record is from RNAcentral.
AGUGAACGCUGGCGGUAGGCCUAACACAUGCAAGUCGAACGGCAGCACAGUAAGAGCUUGCUCUUACGGGUGGCGAGUGGCGGACGGGUGAGGAAUACAUCGGAAUCUACUUUUUCGUGGGGGAUAACGUAGGGAAACUUACGCUGAUACCGCAUACGACCUACGGGUGAAAGCAGGGGAUCUUCGGACCUUGCGCGAUUGAAUGAGCCGAUGUCGGAUUAGCUAGUUGGCGGGGUAAAGGCCCACCAAGGCGACGAUCCGUAGCUGGUCUGAGAGGAUGAUCAGCCACACUGGAACUGAGACACGGUCCAGACUCCUACGGGAGGCAGCAGUGGGGAAUAUUGGACAAUGGGCGCAAGCCUGAUCCAGCCAUACCGCGUGGGUGAAGAAGGCCUUCGGGUUGUAAAGCCCUUUUGUUGGGAAAGAAAAGCAGCAGGUUAAUACCCCGCUGUUCUGACGGUACCCAAAGAAUAAGCACCGGCUAACUUCGU